Molecule: long non-coding RNA, 1051 nt
Organism: Syngnathus acus (greater pipefish)
Lineage: Eukaryota; Metazoa; Chordata; Actinopteri; Syngnathiformes; Syngnathidae
Exons: 2
Source: RefSeq, a predicted model, not a curated record
UAGACUUUUCUACUACCUCAGUAGAAAGUGUCAGUGUAUGCUGUAGCAUUAUUCAAACUGUGACAUUCUAGUCUACACAAAGAGCAAUGUGCAUGAUGCAAGUCUAGCCUAGCGCUAGUUAACAGACUCCAAACCCAUCCUAACAGGUGGCCUAGCCACCUGUGACCCGGGCUGCUCUAAAGUGAAAUGUCAUGAAUGGCUCAAACAGUAAUCUAUCUCACUAGAAAGAGUGAUGGCGUCUUCACGGUUAGGAUGAAGGCCGUCCUUCCUCAGCAGGUCGGGGCGGCGUCAGAAGGAGGACCAGUUAUCUAUAAACUGAAGUCCCUGAUUCUUGCAGAAACCAGCCUUCCACCGAUUAAGCCAGAAUAAUCUGCUAAACCUCUCAUCAUUGUCUCUUGCUGGCAAAAAGCCAGAGACAAUUACUCGAGACCGACUCAUCUUUCUGGCGAGAUCACAAGUCCACGCUAUUUUUUUCUUUGUGAUCUCUGAUUGUGUCUUCACAGUAUCAUUGGAGCCGACGUGUAUCACUAUAUUUGAGUAACGAGUGUUGUUGGUGCCAUGCUGUUGACUCGGCCUAUUGCAAGCCAGCUCCCUAAGGUUAGAUUCAAUGUCUGGUGCUCCGGCUCUAGGGAUACACAUUACUGUGGCUGGAUUUUUAGCGAGAUGUUACGGGUAAUAGAGUCUACUAUGACCAAAGUGCGAGAGCCAGUAUACCGAGGUGGCUUGGCAAGCCGCUUGGGGCUAAUGCUAACUGGGGUAGCAGUUUGACUACAGCCCGCUUUUGUGUCCGCCUCAUCUACGGUUAUCGAGUUGUUCUGCCCUAGCUGGCGGACACGCCCCUCUAGCAGGGACAACCUCUCUAAAAGAAGGGUGCAGGUGGUGCAUGGAGCCUUACAAACCUGUUGAUCUGAAGCCAUACUUACGUGUUCGGUGAACAACGGUAGACAGACAGCCACGAAGCUCCGCUGAAAGCCGAGCAGUGACGUGGUCAAAAUGGCAAGGAUUGACGGUCUGCAGCUUACAAACAAUAGUUAACUCCCAAGAGUGGAGU